This 457-nucleotide ribosomal RNA is filed under the name uncultured bacterium. RNAcentral's name for it is "bacterial SSU rRNA". It matches the Rfam family "Bacterial small subunit ribosomal RNA", at positions 31 to 507 of the family's 1533-position model. The record is from RNAcentral.
GAACGCUGGCGGCGUGCUUAACACAUGCAAGUCGAACGGACUUAAGGGGCUUGCUUCUUAAGUUAGUGGCGCACGGGUGAGUAAUAUAUAGCUAACUUGCCCUUUAGUGGGGGACAACAGUUGGAAACGACUGCUAAUACCCCAUACUCCUUCUUACUAUAAGGUAAGUUGGGAAGGAUUUAUCGCUAAAGGAUGGGGCUUUAUUGUAUCAGUUAGUUGGUGGGGUAAUGGCCUACCAAGACUAUGACGCAUACCUGGUCUGAGAGGAUGAUCAGGCACACUGGAACUGAGACACGGUCCAGACUCCUACGGGAGGCAGCAGUGGGGAAUAUUGCACAAUGGAGGAAACUCUGAUGCAGCAACGCCGCGUGGAGGAUGACGCAUUUCGGUGUGUAAACUCCUUUUAUAGGGGAAGAUAAUGACGGUACCCUAUGAAUAAGCACCGGCUAACUACGUG